RNAcentral lists this ribosomal RNA (253 nucleotides) under uncultured bacterium. RNAcentral's name for it is "partial 16S ribosomal RNA". It matches the Rfam family "Bacterial small subunit ribosomal RNA", at positions 524 to 776 of the family's 1533-position model. The record is from RNAcentral.
UACAGAGGUCUCAAGCGUUGUUCGGAUUCAUUGGGCGUAAAGGGUGCGUAGGUGGCGCUGUAAGUCGGGUGUGAAAGUCGGGGGCUCAACCCUCGGAUGCCGGUGGAUACUGUCGGGCUUGAGUACGGAAGAGGCGAGUGGAAUUCCUGGUGUAGCGGUGAAAUGCGCAGAUAUCAGGAGGAACACCAAUUGCGAAGGCAGCUCGCUGGGACGUUACUGACGCUGAGACGCGAAAGCGUGGGGAGCAAACAGG